Molecule: ribosomal RNA, 429 nt
Filed under: Bacteroidota bacterium
Lineage: Bacteria; Pseudomonadati; Bacteroidota
Description: Bacteroidetes bacterium partial 16S ribosomal RNA
Rfam family: Bacterial small subunit ribosomal RNA
Source: RNAcentral
UAGGGAAUCUUCCGCAAUGGACGCAAGUCUGACGGAGCAACGCCGCGUGAGUGAAGAAGGAUUUCGGUUCGUAAAACUCUGUUGUUAGAGAAGAACAGCGCAUAGAGUAACUGUUAUGCGUGUGACGGUAUCUAACCAGAAAGCCACGGCUAACUACGUGCCAGCAGCCGCGGUAAUACGUAGGUGGCAAGCGUUGUCCGGAUUUAUUGGGCGUAAAGCGAGCGCAGGCGGUCAAUUAAGUCUGAUGUGAAAGCCCCCGGCUCAACCGGGGAGGGUCAUUGGAAACUGGGUGACUUGAGUGCAGAAGAGGAGAGUGGAAUUCCAUGUGUAGCGGUGAAAUGCGUAGAUAUAUGGAGGAACACCAGUGGCGAAGGCGACUCGCUGGUCUGUAACUGACGCGGAGGCUCGAAAGCGUGGGUAGCAAACAGG